RNAcentral lists this unclassified non-coding RNA (9737 nucleotides) under Leishmania donovani. RNAcentral describes it as "gene:LdHU3.33.4570(CDS-product:hypothetical_prote in_conserved)". Lineage: Eukaryota; Euglenozoa; Kinetoplastea; Trypanosomatida; Trypanosomatidae. The record is from RNAcentral.
UGGUGAUCAGCUCCGCAGCGAUCUAUUUUGUCGUCCACUUCUCUGCCGCUGUUGAUGUUGUUGCGACAACGUUUCUCCAUUUUUGAUCGUAUGUGUAACACAUUCGCUUAUCCUUGAACAUCCUUCUCACACCCAAGCCCUCACACGUACACACACACACACACACACACACACGCAGGCCAUCAUCUCUCUGUCUCAGCAUCCGCUCCCCGCCCCCUUGAUCCAUUCCUGAAAGCCGAUCCUGUGCUGUGCUGUGCGUGCUUCGCUCUGCGUUUUUGCGUGCGCAGGAGUCUUUUCUCGUUGCUUCCUUCCGCUGACUCGCCACGUGCACGCAUUCACUCCCUGUGCGUGUCUUGCUUGUGUGCCCCAAAGCUGAAGAAGCGAUGCAGCAGGUCGCCACAACGCCGGCAAGCAGUUUCGCACCGAUCAAGAGUUCGGCGACUGCAUUCGGUGCGUCAAUGGCGGCGCAGGGUGCGCCAACACCGCCUCCCCCCCAGCAGCAGAGUGUGAUGGCGGCGCAGGGCCAAGAGGCGGGCCCGAACCUCUGUGGCAUGCCAGCUGGGUAUCCGUCGGCGAAUCAGCUGGAGCUCCAGCCAGUGGAGCAGGCCAACUACGAUGCCAACGCGAACAAGGCCACCUACGCGAAGCGCCUGCGCCACGGUGAAGAGUACAAAUCCGCCGCCGUGAACGGCGUGCAGCGCGCGGAAAAGCCUGUACUGGGGGCGGCCGAUCCACAGCUGGUGAACAGCAACCUCCCCAGCGAUUGCCCAGCAGUCGCCCGCUCGAUGGUCGAUCAGACGCGCUACACCUUCAACGUUGACCGCGGCUCCUUUGCGCACGACGCGUACCGCAACGGCGGCCUCGGCCUCGGCUCCUUUCAUGGGGGCAUGCCAGGCUCGAUGGUGAUGGGUCGCAUGGGUUCCAUGCUUGGCAUGGGAGGCCCCAUGAGAUCCAUGUACGGGAUGGGCAGCAUGUACGGCAUGAACGUGUCCCGCCCAGCCUCGCUGUUCGGGUCUAUAUACGGUAGCCAGUACGGGAUGGUGCCGAUGGAGUCGAUAUACAGCUUGGGGGGCUCGAUGAACCGCAUUGGGUCCAUGUACAGCAUGGGAUCCAUGUACGGCAUGGGGAUGCCGAUGAGGUCCGCAAUGGGCCCGAUGAGCAUGAUGGGCUGCCCGACGGGAUCGAUGUACGGCACGAACCCUGGCAGCCAGUUUGGCCUGAAUGGAUUCAGCAGCGUCUACGGCGAUCAAUUCCAACAUGGCAUGCGCGGCUCGCAGUACAACGGCGCCAGCAACUACGACAUGUUUGGCUUCGGCAGUGGCUACCAGCCGCAGCCCGGCUACGGCCCCACCGGCAUGACUGGCGCGGGCGAGGCAAGCGCCACAAAUGGUGCCGCCGAUGCCGGCGCCUUCCCGCCGGGUCCUGUGGAACAGCCUGCAGCGUUGUCCACUAAGGCGCCGCUUCGGGCGGUCACGCAGACUUCUGGUGCGGAGAAGAAGAGCAGCGAGCGCAAGAACGGCGUGGCGGGUCUGCUGGUUAUUUCUGCCGGCGCGAACCCGGCGACGACGGUGAUGCUGUCGAGCGACCCGCCAAUUGCGAUGGCUGCUGAUGAGGUGCUGCGCACGGGUCCCAGCGCUCAGGCCACCGCCGUCGCGAUCACGCGCAGUCCCAACUGCCAAGGUGUGUACAACAGCGUCAACGCUGGCCACAACACGGCGCUGCUGCUCGCGACAGACGGGUCGACGGAGUCCCGCUCGAUGGCAGCGGAGGUGGUGAGGCAGGUGCUGACGGAAGCGCUGUCGGAAACGGCGAAGGCGGCUGCCAGCCACGGCUCUCUGGGCUACUACGACGCCCGUGUGUCGGCCUGUGCGCUGCGCAGCGCUACGGAGGCGAUCGACUGCGUCGAGGGCGACGCUGUCACGAAUGUCGAGGUCGGCUCACAUCCGGUGUUUGGGACGGCUUUUAUGAACGUUGGCACGGUUACAGUGCGCAAGAUCGAGACGCACAUGCCCCAGGUCGACGCGGCGAUCACUGCGGCGUGCGGGAGGUCGGAUUCCAAAGUGGCUGUCAUCGAGGCCGUCGUGAAGCAGGUACGACCGUCGCAGAAGGGCAGCAGCCCCACGGACGUGCUGCUGUCCUCGAUCCUGUUCCUCGUCAGCAACGUGACAAUGGAGCAGCAGUCAUACUUCGAGGCUUUCCGUAACGGCGCAAACGUACCACCGGCCCUCAUCAAGGGCUGCAUUGGCGGGGCGUGCCACACCGUGGCGGUGCUGUGCCUGCCCAACUGCACCGACCCCUCGGCCGCCAAUGAGGCAAUGGCCUCACUCAACACAAUCUGCAACAUCGAAAACUCGACGCCGCGCAGUGGCAACCUCGCCCGGUUUAUCGCUUUCGCCACAGGAGAGAGCGACAAGAUGAGGCAGAAGCCAAAGGUGGAUGCAGCAGUUCUGGAGAAGGUGGACGCGAUGCUGGCGGACGGCCGCUCCAUCCUCCAGGACCCGCGCAACACCGUGCCUGUGGCAUACCCAUGCUCUCCACCGCGCACCCUGAGCCGCGCGGUGAACACGCCACAGCUCUCGUCGGGCGACAUCAACGCCCACGCCACGGAGAAGGGGCGUGACGCGUCGAACCCGAUUCGAGUGGUCGUCAUCGCGAGCUCGCAGGCCAGCAAAACGUUUCCGCAGACGUUCAACGUCGGCCCAGAUGGCAAAUCCAUUGUGGACGCCGCUAGUGGCACCAAAGCAUCUGUGCUGGAGCUGGUGACCUGUGCCCCGGAGGACUGGCGCAGCACGACGCCGGAGCUGGUGAACGAGGUGCAGACUCUGUUCCAGAACGGUAACAACACUGCCAUCGUCGGCACCGUCUUGCCAAACGAGAUGAACGUGCUGAGCAAGCAGCCGCUGUGGAUGUCCUACAAGAGCAUGGUCUCCUCCCUCCUCAGCGUCGCCACACAGAAGUACAAGUUUGCUGAAGUGAGCCUCAGCAUCGCGCUUGUCGGCGGCAACGAGCUGCUCGCGGACCUUUUGGUCGGCACGGACUCGGCAGCCCCGGCGGCGCAGACCCCGCAGAAGCUCUCCGUGGCGUAUUCGCCGCUCUUCGGCCCUACCGUGUACAAGUCGACGAUCAUCAAGCAGCCUACACCGCUUCAGCUCGAAUCCACCAUCAACGGCGCCCUCUCCCGUGUGCCGACGAUUAUGCAGCAGUACCCGAACACGAAGACGGUGAUCAUCGCGUCGGCCGUCAUGAAGGGUGUCACGUCCACGGAUGUGUACACGAGCUCGAUGCUGGCUGCCAGUGUCGUGGACCCGACCGUGCUCAUCGACAUCCUCGACAAGAAGCCGGACGUGCCGCAUGAGCUGUUCGACUACGCGUUUGGCGGCCCGUGCUGUACCUUGUUCCUGGCCCACGUCAUCCAGGGUGACACGGGCGUGGGGAAGGUCGUUGAGCUGAUAAACCGACUCAAUGCGACACAGAACCGCAGCGUCAGGACGUGCAGCGUGAAGAAGUUCAUUGCCUUUGCCGAGGAGAGCCUGAAAAAGGCGGAAAUCAAGGUAGCCGCGGCCAAGUCGGAGACGGAGAAGGAGACAAUUCUGCGCAGCAAGAAGAGUAUGGAGGUGUUCCACGCAGAGUACAAGACCCUCAUGGAGGAUCCCGAGCAUCACGACCCGAAGACGUACCGCCGCAGCGGAGGAGGCAUCGGCUCCUCGGGGUCCGGGUCCGCCGCCGCCACCGCGGCCAACUCCGGCGCGAGCAAGACGCGCAGCCUUGCAACCCCAAUCACCGGUGGAGUUUCGGCCGAUAAGUCCCGGAAGAGCGCCGACGGCGACGAGAAGAGCAGCGAGCGAAACGCGAAGGCUGACGACGCCAAGUCGUCUGGCAGCCGCCACAGCUCUAGUCACAGGAAAGCUUCGGCAGACGGGAAGAAGCGGCGCAACUCCAGUAGUCGCGCUAAAGCCGACUACAAGCCCUCCAGCAGUCGUCACAGCUCCGGGUCGAGGCGCAGCUCGAAAUCCUCAUCUCACAAGCACCAUCACAGAUCCUCCAAGGACAAGAAGUAAUCAUCUGUGGCUCAAUGGUGUGUGCACGGAAGCCUCUCUCUCUGUUGGUGUGUAGCAUGCAGCACGGCAGGCGACAUCCGCACCGCCUUCUCUCCUUCGUCUUUACCUUAUAUUUCAUAGUCUACUCCUUCUUCCCCCCCCCCCCCCCCCCAACAUUGUUGUUUCGCUUUCCUGUGUGCGUGCACGGCAGCGGCAGGAAGGGAAAGAGUCGGGUGUGGAUCGAUCUUAUUUGCAGUCCUUCCCCAGCCCCCUCGAGCAUCCUUUCCUGCCUGCGCCGCAGCUGUGCUCCCCUCCCUCCCUCUGACAGCGACGCACAUGCACCGCUGUAAGCGUUUUUUUUAUUCCUAUUCGUUUUGCCGACUUUCUCUCUUCCCCCUCUUCGUCCCCUCUCUCCUCCCUCAUCUUUUGUGAAGGCACCAAACCUCCUCCGCGAAACAGGUCCUGGGCUCUCUUUGCGCGCGUGUGCGAGUCUUUCCACCUGUCGUGUAGGGCGCACCGCGGUACGAGUGGGAGAGCUGCAUCUCCCCAUCUCGUGAGGAGAGUCUUUCAGUGCUCUUGCUCUCAUUCUUUUUUCUAGUGUUUGCACGUGCGCGUCAGAUGGAGGUUGACGUGGCCAUUUCGAUUGGUUCUUGUCUCAUGCCGAUUCUGUGUGCCAGCACGUAGGAAGGAUCGUGUACAUGUCUGUGCGUAUGCGCAGAGAUGCGCUCCAUCACUUGUGUUUCUUGACUAUACGAAGUCAGUACUCGUGCGAAUGCCCCUGCGCUGCCUCCCCAGGUGUGCGGUGACUUUUUCGGUGACUGCUGUUGCUACAUUUCUUUGAACGAGUUCCCGUGUUCCAAUCUCUCUCUCUCUUUACACACGCAAGCCAGCCACGCGCUUUUUUUUCCCCGUGCUAAGCGGCUUUGCUUCCCCAUUCCCCUCAUCCUGCCUUGUGUGUCCUUUGACGUAGGAGACCGUGCAAGUGUGAAGUGUGCGCGUGUGUGCGUGUGUGUCUCCUUGCCUUCUUUAUGGUUGUUGUGGUUCUCGCUAUUCUUUGCGCUUUUUGUCGAUGUGCCACUUUUUUCUUUGAUGUGGUUAGGCUCCGUUUUUGUCGCUCGUUAUUCGGCUUUGCAUAACUCGCUUUCUUGUGUGCGGGCCGAGUCUGGUGUCAUCAGCCCCCCUCCCCCUUGCUCUAUCCCUCCCAAUCGCCUUCAUCUCUUGUUAUUUCUUCUCGCUUCUGGGUGCAUUACACCAUACGCCACGGCGAGAUGAAAUCGAAUAGAGCAGUACACACCCACACACAGACAGACAAGGAAGACGGAAAGACAACAUGUGCGCCGCAACGGAAGUACCGCUGCCUCCUUCUUCGCCUAGGUCUCUCGUACACGUGUCUAGCACGCUCCAUGAUGCGUGCACACUGAAGCCGCUCUCUCCCUUUUUUUUUUCGUUGUGGUCUUGCUUAUGCGUGCCGCCUCGGUGGUGCUUUUUUUUUCGUGUUAGAGUCGCUCUUAUUUGUGUGUGCUUUAUUUUCUCUCCUCUCAUCCUUCUCUUUUCGUUUUUACUUCUACAGGCACGCUAGAGUGUGACCUGUAGCGUGGCUUUCAUGGAAGAACACAAGCUCUUCGCACUUCUGUGCUUUAUUUUGCCGCUGCUGCUACCGCGUUGUGCUACUCUUGGUAUGCUUGUAGAUGCGCUUUCGCUGUGUAAGCCUCUUUCCUGGUCGGCUUGUCUCUGCAUCCCCAGCCACACACCCUUUAACGAUUCUCUCUAUUGUUUUUCUAUUAUUUGCUUUCGAUUGCAAGCACCAUUUCGAGGGCUGCUGGGCACGCAUAUCUGCUUCUCCUGGUGUGUCUACGUUUGUGCGUGUGCGUGUGUGCUUCCUUGGCCUAUGCACUUCUCGUUUCUCCCCUCCCCACUGUCCCGCCAACACCGCUACCUCUUCAAGCCUGGCCAUUCUCCUCGGUGCACACACACACACACAUAUUUGUCUCUACUUACCUUCUUCCUUCUGCUGUUUUUGCCUUUUCAGUAGCGUGGCCCCUCUUUUAGUUGGUUUCCUGUGUCCGGAGAGACAAAAGGCCCCAACUCCCCUCCACUUCUUUGCCCCUCCCCCGUCCUUCACGGUCUGGAUGUUGGCAAGUACUCUCUUUUGUGAUCUUGUCCUCUGCUGGUGCGCGCUGUGUAAUGUUCUGUUUCUCUUUGCCCUGAGCUUGCUGUGAUGGUUGUGGUUGCUCUCCACUCUGCGUCCGGAGCUGCAAAGGCGCUUGAUUGCCUUUGCUCUUCUUGUAUCCAUUUCGUUCUUCACCCUGGUCGUGUUUCUUUAUAUUCAUCUUUAUGUGUGUGUGCGCGUGUGCAUGUGAACAGACCGUUCCACUUCCGCGCCCCUGCGCCUACCCUCGUCGUGUACUCCUCGUCACAUACUCGUCCCUCCCCCAGUUCUCUCCUCCCUCGCGCCUUCUUCUGCCUCGCUUCCCUCUCUCUCUUUCGGGAAGAGUGAGAGACCCGGAGAGGAGGGAAGCGUGAUGGCAGGUCUGUGUGUGGUACGGAGAGAGGAUGGAGGAGUGAAGUUGGAGUGCGAUGACGUUGUGCGCGGAUUUAUAUGGGCUCUUCUCGUUUGAAUUUACGUGUAUUCAUCCCUGUCCGCGGAGUCCUACUCCGCAUCCCUAAGGCACCCUACCCAAUUCGAUCCGUGAUGCCCACUACGAGCAGCGCCAUCCCCUCCCCCGUGCACACAUUGAUGACUGACUCAGAGGUUUACGUACAGAGACACAGACGCGGCCACUCCUCACAGAGGUGCGUGCAGCCAUCGUUGCUUGAGCCAUCCAGAGACCACCAGUACCACCAGCACAACGAGCGAAAUCUACGUGCCUUUCGAGUGAUCGCUACCGACAGACACGUAUAUACAGAUACAUAUACAGAGUCAAAGAGCAUGUCGCACACUUCAGGCUCUGUACUCGUGCUUGUGGCAAGCAGCGCGCUUGUGGUGCCUCGGACCCAACUGUGCGUGCGUGCGUGUGCUCCCACCUUUCUUCCUCGUUUCAUUGGUGUUCGACACGGAUACGCUCAUUCGUGGCUGUGGACUAUUCUUAUGGUCUCCCGAACUGUCUCGCGGGUGCUCCGUGUGCUUUUUGUGCCAUCGACGCAUCUCUCCAUGUGCCUGUGCUCGCGCACGCUCCUUUUCCCGCUGCUUCCCUUUCCGCUUCAGCGGGGCAGAUGGAGGUGGUGGUGCUUUUUUUUUUUUGCGACUUUGCCAUGUGCGCUCGACGAGGCGCAAAGUGUGUGCGCGUGGAUACGUCUGCGCUGCCGUGGUAGUCUCCCGCAUCAUGUGAUGCACGCUCUUCCGUCAAUUCUCGUCCUUCACACUUUGCCACGUCUGCGCCCGCGUGCUUACGGGUCGCUGCGGUCGGACUGCCUGUGCCCUCCCUCUCUUUUGUUUGUUGUCGUUUCUUCUUUCCUGGGGAGGAUGUCGUUUCACCUGGGUGCCGCUCUGAGCCACCACCCCCUCCCUCCCUCCCCACCCCACCAUUCCUACGUGCCAAGAGGCUCAAAGAGCACCGAAGCGUCACUGAAAAAAGGAGAGGGCAAACCUGCAAGCGUCGCCUGGCCGCGAAGAAGAACAGUACAAGUGCAGGCGUUUAUCGUAACCAAAACCGGGUAUGAAGCACGUGCGUGCGUGCGAUGUAGGGAUAUCGAAUGCCCCACACACGUUUUUUUUGUUUGCAGCGCCACAGCACCCGCGUCAGCAACCUGCUUCGCUCCCCUUCACCUCGCUCCGUUGUUCACCUGUGCGCCACACCAGUAUGCGUUCGUCUCAUGUGUUUCUAGCGACGUACUCUUUCUCCCUCUUUUUUUUGGUGUGUGGGUGGGGCGGGGUGGGGGCAUUGCUGUUGUCUGCCUCUCUUUUUUCCUUUCGCCUUUCUUGGACUCGUUGUACUUCUCUUUUAUUUUUUCUCUUGCCUUCUUUCCACUGUUACGGUUAUGCUCAAGCUCGACGUCUCCCAUGCCGGCAUUGUGCGUGUGCGUGUUCUCGGACUUCUCCCCACCCACCCCUUUUUAUUUUUUGUCUUGUGUUAGCAUGCUUUCUUUUUCCUCUUUUUUUUUCCAGUCGUCGAUUUCUCUCAUCUGUGGUUUCUUCGUUCUCAUUCUUUUCACCUCGUUGCUUGAUGGUUGAUGUGCCUGAACACCUCCUCUUUUUCUUCUUUACACGUCUACGUUGUAUAUAAAUAUAUAUAUGCACAUAUAUGCAGCGCUGCAGGCGUGCCUUGGCCCCGUGAAUGCGGACGACCAACUCUCGCUUGCUCCCUCGUCGUUACCUUUUCCCCCUACUCCCCAUACCGGCAAGUGAGUGCGCCGGUGUCCACGGAAAGGAAUGGUGCCUUUUUUUCGUGUGCUUUAUUUUUGAGCUCGUUUUUUUUUUGUCGCUUCUGUACGCUUCUCUCCGGGCCUAACGCUGCGAUGAGAUCGGGGUGGGGGAGCGGCAGUGAGGGGGACGAUCGAGCUUUCAUGGUCGCGUGGACACGAUAUCUUUCCUCCACCUGUCAGUGCCACCUCUUGUUUCCAUUCGCUUUGAGAACGGCCCUCCCCCCCCGUGGCCUCAUGGGCGUGCACUCUUGCCAGGACACAGACGCAGCACGUACGCGUAUUUGUGCUCUUGUAUACAAAAAGGCGCGCCCUACCCCGGCUGCUAUGGCGUCGGUGUAACGUCCUCUCCCUUCCAUCCUCUCUCCCCUCUUUCUCACACUCUCGACGAAAAGGGAAGUGUACACGCGAUGAGCGCAUGUGGUUAUUGCUUUUUUUUGGGUCUUUUUCAUACACAAAGACGCUUCACGGUCGUUCUUGUGGGUCCUCUCUCUCUCGUUUCUCCAGGCUGUUCUCUUUCUGUGUGACGCUUCCAGCUGUGAAAGCACUCGCUUUCUCUCUUUUGGGGGUUGCCUCUGCAUUUUCUGCCGCAGAUGUUUCUUCCCUUUCGCUUUCAUUGCUCUACAAUGUCCGCCUCUGCCUUGCCUGAUUUUUUGUUGGAAGGGUCUGUCUCUGUAUGCCUGUGGCGUCCCUCUGUUCUUUGCAGCUGCAUCUGUGUGGGUCUGAGCGUUUGAUGCAGAUAUAUGUGCAUCCACGUGUGCCUCUCCUCUUUUCUUUCGGCGCUGUGUGCAUUCUCCCUCUCCCGUUGCGUUUUCUUCGUACCUCCUCUUCUCCGUUCGAUGUGCAGCGAUGAAAGCUGUCGCUGCCGCCGAAUCCGACUUUUUGCCUGUUUUUUUCUCUUUGUGUGUAUGCCUGUGUGCCGUGGAGCAGUGAUGGGAAAAGCUCGGCAGACUCCCUUUCUGUUUUAUGUAUCCUUGUGCCGUUGUUGAUCCUGUUGUAUGCGCGGUUGUGUAUUUUUUUUUACCUGCACGCGUUCCCCUCUCUGUCUCUCUCUCUUCCUCCAUGCUUCCGUCCUUGUUUUUCUUCGUCUCCUUCCCUUCACUUGUCUCACCAGCAUCGCACCCACAAGACGCAAAGUCGCCCGCGGCACAUCACCCCUAAAAAAAAAGAAACUAUGCUAUUGCUAAAAGAGCAUAUACACAAUAGAGGUGUCCACUCUUCUUCCUCUCUUGCCUGUAUUCUCUAUGCGUGGGUUGACGGCGAACACUCGCGCGCGUCGCACGAUUUGGGGAUCUCAAGUAUGUGCUUGUAUGUAAAAGGACGCAUGCUGCGGAUGAAACG